RNAcentral lists this ribosomal RNA (252 nucleotides) under uncultured bacterium. RNAcentral's name for it is "partial 16S ribosomal RNA". It matches the Rfam family "Bacterial small subunit ribosomal RNA", at positions 524 to 776 of the family's 1533-position model. The record is from RNAcentral.
UACGUAGGUCCCGAGCGUUGUCGGGAUUUAUUGGGCGUAAAGCGAGCGCAGGUGGUUUAUUAAGUCUGGUGUAAAAGGCAGUGGCUCAACCAUUGUAUGCAUUGGAAACUGGUAGACUUGAGUGCAGGAGAGGAGAGUGGAAUUCCAUGUGUAGCGGUGAAAUGCGUAGAUAUAUGGAGGAACACCGGUGGCGAAAGCGGCUCUCUGGCCUGUAACUGACACUGAGGCUCGAAAGCGUGGGGAGCAAACAGG